This 1449-nucleotide ribosomal RNA is filed under the name uncultured organism. RNAcentral's name for it is "SSU rRNA". It matches the Rfam family "Bacterial small subunit ribosomal RNA". The record is from RNAcentral.
GAUGAACGCUAGCUACAGGCUUAACACAUGCAAGUCGAGGGGCAUCAGGAAGAAAGCUUGCUUUCUUUGCUGGCGACCGGCGCACGGGUGAGUAACACGUAUCCAACCUGCCCUUUACUCGGGGAUAGCCUUUCGAAAGAGAGAUUAAUACCCGAUAGCAUAAUGAUUCCGCAUGGUUUCAUUAUUAAAGGAUUCCGGUAAAGGAUGGGGAUGCGUUCCAUUAGGUUGUUGGUGAGGUAACGGCCCACCAAGCCUUCGAUGGAUAGGGGUUCUGAGAGGAAGGUCCCCCACAUUGGAACUGAGACACGGUCCAAACUCCUACGGGAGGCAGCAGUGAGGAAUAUUGGUCAAUGGGCGCUAGCCUGAACCAGCCAAGUAGCGUGAAGGAUGAAGGCUCUAUGGGUCGUAAACUUCUUUUAUAUAAGAAUAAAGUGCAGUAUGUAUACUGUUUUGUAUGUAUUAUAUGAAUAAGGAUCGGCUAACUCCGUGCCAGCAGCCGCGGUAAUACGGAAGAUCCGAGCGUUAUCCGGAUUUAUUGGGUUUAAAGGGAGCGUAGGUGGACUGGUAAGUCAGUUGUGAAAGUUUGCGGCUCAACCGUAAAAUUGCAGUUGAUACUGUCAGUCUUGAGUACAGUAGAGGUGGGCGGAAUUCGUGGUGUAGCGGUGAAAUGCUUAGAUAUCACGAAGAACUCCGAUUGCGAAGGCAGCUCACUGGACUGCAACUGACACUGAUGCUCGAAAGUGUGGGUAUCAAACAGGAUUAGAUACCCUGGUAGUCCACACAGUAAACGAUGAAUACUCGCUGUUUGCGAUAUACAGUAAGCGGCCAAGCGAAAGCAUUAAGUAUUCCACCUGGGGAGUACGCCGGCAACGGUGAAACUCAAAGGAAUUGACGGGGGCCCGCACAAGCGGAGGAACAUGUGGUUUAAUUCGAUGAUACGCGAGGAACCUUACCCGGGCUUAAAUUGCAGUGGAAUGAUGUGGAAACAUGUCAGUGAGCAAUCACCGCUGUGAAGGUGCUGCAUGGUUGUCGUCAGCUCGUGCCGUGAGGUGUCGGCUUAAGUGCCAUAACGAGCGCAACCCUUAUCUUUAGUUACUAACAGGUUAUGCUGAGGACUCUGGAGAGACUGCCGUCGUAAGAUGUGAGGAAGGUGGGGAUGACGUCAAAUCAGCACGGCCCUUACGUCCGGGGCUACACACGUGUUACAAUGGGGGGUACAGAAGGCAGCUAGCGGGUGACCGUAUGCUAAUCCCAAAAGCCUCUCUCAGUUCGGAUCGAAGUCUGCAACCCGACUUCGUGAAGCUGGAUUCGCUAGUAAUCGCGCAUCAGCCACGGCGCGGUGAAUACGUUCCCGGGCCUUGUACACACCGCCCGUCAAGCCAUGGGGGCCGGGGGUACCUGAAGUACGUAACCGCAAGGAUCGUCCUGGGGUAAAACUGGUGACUGGGG